UGGGGAAUAUUGCACAAUGGGCGCAAGCCUGAUGCAGCAACGCCGCGUGAGGGAUGACGGCCUUCGGGUUGUAAACCUCUUUUAGCAGGGAAGAAGCGAAAGUACGGUACCUGCAGAAAAAGCACCGGCUAACUACGUGCCAGCAGCCGCGGUAAUACGUAGGGUGCAAGCGUUGUCCGGAAUUAUUGGGCGUAAAGAGCUCGUAGGCGGUCUGUCGCGUCUGCUGUGAAAUCCCGAGGCUCAACCUCGGGCCUGCAGUGGGUACGGGCAGACUAGAGUGCGGUAGGGGAGAAUGGAACUCCUGGUGUAGCGGUGGAAUGCGCAGAUAUCAGGAAGAACACCGAUGGCGAAGGCAGUUCUCUGGGCCGUAACUGACGCUGAGGAGCGAAAGCGUGGGGAGCGAACAGGAUUAGAUACCCUGGUAGUCCACGCCGUAAACGUUGGGCGCUAGAUGUGGGGACCAUUCCACGGUUUCCGUGUCGCAGCUAACGCAUUAAGCGCCCCGCUGGGGAGUACGGCCGCAAGGCUAAAAACUCAAAGGAAUUGACGGGGUCAUAGCUGUUUCCUG
Molecule: ribosomal RNA, 568 nt
Filed under: uncultured bacterium
Lineage: Bacteria
Description: partial 16S ribosomal RNA
Rfam family: Bacterial small subunit ribosomal RNA
Source: RNAcentral